RNAcentral lists this transfer RNA (74 nucleotides) under Caulerpa lentillifera. Its description in RNAcentral is "tRNA-His". It matches the Rfam family "tRNA". From Rfam's summary of the family: Transfer RNA (tRNA) molecules are approximately 80 nucleotides in length. The record is from RNAcentral. Lineage: Eukaryota; Viridiplantae; Chlorophyta; Ulvophyceae; Bryopsidales; Caulerpaceae.
GUGGGCAUAACUUAGUGGUUUUAAAGUGUCGGAUUGUGAUUCCGAAAACGGCGGUUCAAUUCCGCCUGCUCACC